This 301-nucleotide ribosomal RNA is filed under the name uncultured bacterium. RNAcentral's name for it is "partial 16S ribosomal RNA". It matches the Rfam family "Bacterial small subunit ribosomal RNA", at positions 509 to 809 of the family's 1533-position model. The record is from RNAcentral.
CAGCAGCCGCGGGAAUACGGAGGGUGCAAGCGUUAUCCGGAUUUAUUGGGUUUAAAGGGUCCGUAGGCGGAUCUGUAAGUCAGUGGUGAAAUCUCACAGCUUAACUGUGAAACUGCCAUUGAUACUGCAGGUCUUGAGUAAAUUUGAAGUGGCUGGAAUAAGUAGUGUAGCGGUGAAAUGCAUAGAUAUUACUUAGAACACCAAUUGCGAAGGCAGGUCACUAAGAUUUAACUGACGCUGAUGGACGAAAGCGUGGGGAGCGAACAGGAUUAGAUACCCCCGUAGUCCAUGUCUCUUAUAA